AUUGAACGCUGGCGGCAUGCCUUACACAUGCCAGUCGAACGGCAGCACGGGUGCUUGCACCUGGUGGCGAGUGGCGAACGGGUGAGUAAUACAUCGGAACAUGUCCUGUAGUGGGGGAUAGCCCGGCGAAAGCCGGAUUAAUACCGCAUACGAUCUACGGAUGAAAGCGGGGGACCUUCGGGCCUCGCGCUAUAGGGUUGGCCGAUGGCUGAUUAGCUAGUUGGUGGGGUAAAGGCCUACCAAGGCGACGAUCAGUAGCUGGUCUGAGAGGACGACCAGCCACACUGGGACUGAGACACGGCCCAGACUCCUACGGGAGGCAGCAGUGGGGAAUUUUGGACAAUGGGCGAAAGCCUGAUCCAGCAAUGCCGCGUGUGUGAAGAAGGCCUUCGGGUUGUAAAGCACUUUUGUCCGGAAAGAAAUCCUUGGCCCUAAUACGGUCGGGGGAUGACGGUACCGGAAGAAUAAGCACCAGCUAACUACGUG
RNAcentral lists this ribosomal RNA (486 nucleotides) under uncultured bacterium. Its description in RNAcentral is "partial 16S ribosomal RNA". It matches the Rfam family "Bacterial small subunit ribosomal RNA", at positions 30 to 507 of the family's 1533-position model. The record is from RNAcentral.